Molecule: ribosomal RNA, 301 nt
Filed under: uncultured bacterium
Lineage: Bacteria
Description: partial 16S ribosomal RNA
Rfam family: Bacterial small subunit ribosomal RNA
Source: RNAcentral
CAGUCGCCGCGGUAAAACGAAGGGGGCUAGCGUUGCUCGGAUUUACUGGGCGUAAAGGGCGUGUAGGCGGCCUGGGGCGUCCCAUGUGAAAGGCCACGGCUCAACCGUGGAGGAGCGUGGGAUACGCUCAGGCUAGAGGGUGGGAGAGGGUGGUGGAAUUCCCGGAGUAGCGGUGAAAUGCGCAGAUACCGGGAGGAACGCCGAUGGCGAAGGCAGCCACCUGGUCCACUUCUGACGCUGAGGCGCGAAAGCGUGGGGAGCAAACCGGAUUAGAUACCCCAGUAGUCCCUGUCUCUUAUAC